Clupea harengus (Atlantic herring) is the source of this 1967-nucleotide long non-coding RNA. The record is from Ensembl. Lineage: Eukaryota; Metazoa; Chordata; Actinopteri; Clupeiformes; Clupeidae.
AGCCCUGAUAAACACAUCGCACAAGGUUUAUAUAGACAGAAGUUGAGCGUUCAGCGAGAUAACCACGUGGUGGAUUUCUGAUAUCCGAGGCAAGGAUGGAAGUUUUGCAAGGUCGGAAGAAGCACAGUUCGAACCUUCUUAUCACUUCUGGUCUAAACAUGCUCUUGUACAUGUACAGACUAAGUGGCACCUAAUAUUCUAAGUUACACACACGCAGAAACACAGAAAAGCCAUGUUCCUGCUUACAUAAGUACAUGAUUCAUAUAAGGUAAUUAAUAAUACAAGGCACUUGAUUAUUAUAUUCUUAAGUCAUUAACAGUGUUUGGAAAUUAUCUCCAUCAGUCCCUCCUUUUAUCCGUUUCAAUGGAUAAUUCAGAAUCACAAUCAAAAUCACAAUUCAAAUCAAAAUCACAAAUCAUCUUUCUUAAUUCGUCAAUUAUCAAUUUCAAUGGAUAACCUCAAAAUCAUCACUCUGAGCUUCAUCACAUGGAUUUUCGGAACAUUCGGAGAUCAUUACUGAACAUCACUCGAUAAGUUAAUCAUUUAAAAUGUCAUCAUAUUUCUCAUCACACAUUUGUAUACUUUGCAUUUGUAGGCCAACAUAGUGGAUGUCGACUGUGUGUGUGUCAUUAGCUCGCCUAGGCUUCAGAUAACAUUCAAACAAGGUUUCUUUGCUGUGUCCUUGAAGGCCCUGUUCCCCAUCAGGCAUUCUGUUGGACAACUUUUUGCAUCUUUUGUAGGAUCAGAUCUAAGGCUUUCCCAUUAUCGGGUGUUAUCAGGGACAUAUGUGCAACAUUGGUCAGUACCAAGCAUGACACAAAUGCCUCCAUUCAUGGCAGUGCGAAUUUCAAGCACGGUUGUGUUUUGCCGCGUUAACCUGGAGUUGGCGUGUAGUUCUUCUCUGAUCUUUUGUAGUCUGUCUCUGGUCAGGUUUUGGAACUUCAUCUCAGCGUAGUAAAGGAAGUUAAUCCAAUCUGUGUGUGUUCCGAUGACGCACCAGGGGCAGAGGGUAGAUGCCAGGCCAUUGGCUGCUGGGUUCAAGGCUUUGUAGUGGUCUGGAAUGCCUCAGGGAAUGCCCAGGCCAUCGGACCAGAUCCCGCUGUCAUCCCCUGCUUCUCUCCUCCCUCGUACGGAAUGCAUUGGAACGUUCCUCAGGUACUGGUGAGUCUUGGACCUGGGGGAAAUCUGAAAAGGUUGUACCAACAUUGUUCUAGCACAAGGCUCAGACCAACCCACAGGUAGUGUAGCUCUUAAUUCACCAUCCCCACUUAUCAGCUAUGGCUAUAUCCUGUACUUCUAGAAGUCUGCCAUUCAAACACAUCCCCGCUAUUCUAUAUUCAUAAGGUACAGGGGUCGCCAGGAGUGGUUUGGUCGGCAUCCUGGGCCCUGCACAGACUAAACAGACUAAACUAACUUGUGGUACUUGCGUUCUGACGGUCUGAUUCACCCAUUUCCAUCACGGAUGAUCUUUAGCCAGGCCCCAUCGUGGAUAUUCGUCCAGGGCCUGUGUUUGCUGUAUCAUUCAUAAGUAUGUUACUAGAACAACAAUGUAAAAUCCUACAGUCGUUGCUAAGAGUCCCUCACAUCCUCUGGCCCACUUUCCGUAACCUCCUAUGACCUUGCAGAGGAAGAGACCUCUUACUCCACAAUUUCCACUAGGUUCUAAUCCCCCAGGACAGUACUGUAUCUUCUGCCAGCGGUUGAGACGAAUAGAAUCUAAACAUCUAAACCCCUUUGUAGGCUGGUCUUCUGUCACAGUGGGCACACCCUGGAAACAGCAAAGAAAGAUGAUCUUUAUUCCUCUGCCUCAGUCGUGUGCAGGCUUACCCGUUUGCAUUGAGCCAGAAGUAUCCACGUGGCUCUCUCAGCUAUUUUGACUGCGGUAGGUGUUGACAGUAGCAGUUGUUACAAUAUUUCUUUCUUUCGUUGGGAUUUAACUCAAUAAAAUCAAUAAUGAAUGAUUAAAC